Molecule: ribosomal RNA, 293 nt
Filed under: uncultured prokaryote
Description: partial 16S ribosomal RNA
Rfam family: Archaeal small subunit ribosomal RNA
Source: RNAcentral
GUGCCAGCAGCCGCGGUAAUACCGGCAGCCCAAGUGAUGGCCGAUAUUAUUGGGCCUAAAGCGUCCGUAGCUGGCCGGACAAGUCCGUUGGGAAAUCUGCUCGCUCAACGAGCAGGCGUCCAGCGGAAACUGUUCGGCUUGGGACCGGAAGACCAGAGGGGUACGUCCGGGGUAGGAGUGAAAUCCCGUAAUCCUGGACGGACCGCCGAUGGCGAAAGCACGUCGCGAGGACGGAUCCGACAGUGAGGGACGAAAGCCAGGGUCUCGAACCGGAUUAGAAACCCGCGUAGUCC